RNAcentral lists this long non-coding RNA (767 nucleotides) under Apteryx rowi (Okarito brown kiwi). Its description in RNAcentral is "lncRNA (ENSARWG00000018179.1)". The record is from RNAcentral. Lineage: Eukaryota; Metazoa; Chordata; Aves; Apterygiformes; Apterygidae.
CUCCGGGCAGGUCGCAGGCGCGUGCGCACAUCGCAAUGCGAAGGAAGGGUCACGAGGCGCCUCGGGGAGGCUGCGACCUUAGCCGGCGGUGGGCGGGGCCCUGCCCGUGACGUCGCGGGGAGCUACCCUCCCCUCCCCCAGCACAGCUCUAAUGGCCGUUGCCGCCCGCUGGAUCUGGGGGUUUCAACUUCUGGCACCUUCGAAAGAUGAGGAGAUCACCAUGAGUGCGGAUGUGACCACCAUCUUCUUUCUGUCCUUGACAAAGAGAAUGAAGAGCUCUUAGAAGAAAAAGUCUAGUGUAAUAAUGUCCAGUGGUCAAAAGGCAGAACGUCACAAAAGUGGGUUUUUGGACAGAGUACAGAAAGCUGUUCAGCUGUACUCCAAAGAGCUUAACAUCUCUUCUGAAUGGUGCUACAGACUGAGUGGGUGUUUACACUUAUUUUGAAAUCUUUCCUCCAGGAGGAAAGGAAAAUACAAUGGAUAAUGACUAACUGGAAGCAUGGCUCUGUUUGAGUCGUAUGUUCAGUGUGAGUAUGAUCCUGGCAGUCUGCUGAACUGUGGAGAUUUGCUUGGAAGGAGAGGGUAAAAUACGUGAUCUCUUAGUGGGACAACUUAGAAGACCUGCUGUGAAGAAAGUCUCAAUGAAAAAUGCAAUGGUAUUUUGCUCCCUCUUCAGCUCCUCUCUGGGAAACAGCUGAAUAAUCCCUCAUUCAAGUAACCAGCUAAAAAAGAAUAAAUGGCCAUGUGAUGUUUCUGCCUCUCUAAUC